This 114-nucleotide non-coding RNA is filed under the name fish gut metagenome. The record is from RNAcentral.
UUCAGCUACGGCUUUUUCUCCUACCUUACCAUUUUUCUUAACAUAUUCAUCAUAAAAUGGUUUCAUAGCUUUUCUAAAUGGUACUAAGUCUGGAGUUGUCACUGUUACACCUUG